UUUCGCAUUUAUGAUUAUAAAUUUUAAUACAAGAUUUUCUUUUGUGCCAAUUCGCCUUUGGUCGCGUUAUUCGCGUGUGUUUGCUCUCGCGCUCUAUUUGUUUACUCCUCUCUCAUUGAUUUCAGUUUCCUUUUUAGCAAAUAACAGCAAAUAAAACAAGAAAUAACAACAACAAAUAGAAGCCACGUGUUGAUAAACAUUAUUAAAAGGAGAUAUAACAUCAAACACACACAUAAUCUCUCUACUUAUCGCAACGAUUGCGUCCUACAUCAAAAAAAAAUAUACUACAUUUUGUUGUCAUUAAUUAGUUAAUUAAUUAACACGAUAAUAUCUAUAAUUUUCUUUAAUUUGAUUUUGGGUAAAACAUACCGUUUUUUGUAUGAAAUUAAUUCCGUCACGUCGUCUACUACAAUUUGUCAACUUUAAAACUAAAGAAAAUAAAAAAACGAAAAAUCUACUAGGCUUGGUCCUCUGGAAUAAUUAAACACUCGUCCCUCCUGCGAUCAAGGUAAGCCAAGUCGUGACAAUGUAAUGCCCAGCAAAUAUUCGAAAAA
This is a non-coding RNA of Drosophila suzukii, 554 nucleotides long. NCBI's taxonomy places the organism in Eukaryota, Metazoa, Arthropoda, Insecta, Diptera, Drosophilidae. The record is from RefSeq and is a predicted model, not a curated record.